AAAGAAAGAAAGAAAGAAAAAAAGAAAGAAGAGAACAGGAGGAAAGA
RNAcentral lists this non-coding RNA (47 nucleotides) under Chromera velia. The record is from RNAcentral. Lineage: Eukaryota; Chromeraceae.